This is a long non-coding RNA of Cucurbita maxima (winter squash), 533 nucleotides long. RefSeq lists it as uncharacterized. The record is from RefSeq and is a predicted model, not a curated record. The transcript is spliced from 3 exons. Lineage: Eukaryota; Viridiplantae; Streptophyta; Magnoliopsida; Cucurbitales; Cucurbitaceae.
AUGAAAGAUAAGAUAGUUUAGCUGGACUGUCCAAACGUGCAAUCUCGUGUGAUUCUGACAAAUGCGCAAUCGCUUCAGAGGUUCAUCUUAAGGAAGUCCACAGGUCAAAAAAGGAAUUGACGUUAACUUAAGGAGACGGGUCAUCGUUAGAGUAAGAUUGAGAAAUGAGGUUUUCAAAAUAUUCCUCAACCAAUUUCAAUUUUAAUGAUUAUUAUGCGAAAUUGAAUCAAACGAAAGUAUAAUUAGACGCCCCUGAUUAAUUUACUUUCCUAUGUCUCAAUUGAGGAUAUUAGCCAUGCAUGAUAUGUGUACGUACAUAGGAACAAUUAAAGUUUCGUUAGCUAAUCCUUAAUUGUGAACUCGACUCAACUCGACUGGCAAGAGUUUGUAUAACAUUUUCAGUAGAUAGCUACGAGGACUAUUAGUGUUCAGGGCAUAAAGCUUGUAAUGACAAUUUCAACGUCUUUUGAAUCACUCAAAUAAGGACUAAAACGAACGAAAAAGUCUUUGGAAUCACUCAAAUCAAGACUAAA